CAGGGAGACAACAAAAUGUUUAAUAUUAUUUUGUCACCUUAGGUCGAUCGGUAUCUCACAUUCUUAAUUUAUUAAGAAUUUCAUUUCCUAAGUUUUUCUAGGUCACACCCAUUAUUUUUCCUGGGCCAUUAGCUCAGGUGGUUAGAGCGCACCCCUGAUAAGGGUGAGGCCCCUGGUUCAAGUCCAGGAUGGCCCAUAUCUCUAUGUUGGGGGUAUAGCUCAGUUGGUAGAGCGCCUGCUUUGCAAGCAGGAUGUCAGCGGUUCGAGUCCGCUUACCUCCACUGAUUACCACCUCUUCCAUAAUCCGUAGAAGGGAAAAAUUUUGUAUUGUGAUCAUAAUUCUGAACGAAUCUAGCUUCCUAAUGAAAUCAUUAAGAUGCUGGACUCAUUGAAUUGAUUUCAUUGUUUUCAGAGAACCUUGACAACUGCAUAGAUUAUUUUAAAGACAAUAAGCAUCUUUAAUGAUGCAGAUUUAUUAUUUGUGCUAAUGCAUUAAUAACAAUUCUAUUAAGCUGAUGCUUCAAUUUUGAAGUUAUU
RNAcentral lists this transfer RNA (537 nucleotides) under uncultured cyanobacterium. Its description in RNAcentral is "partial 16S-23S ribosomal RNA intergenic spacer". The stretch from base 209 to 281 matches the Rfam family "tRNA". Lineage: Bacteria; Bacillati; Cyanobacteriota. The record is from RNAcentral.